UGGGAGCUUGCUCCCUGAUGUUAGCGGCGGACGGGUGAGUAACACGUGGGUAACCUGCCUGUAAGACUGGGAUAACUCCGGGAAACCGGGGCUAAUACCGGAUGGUUGUUUGAACCGCAUGGUUCAAACAUAAAAGGUGGCUUCGGCUACCACUUACAGAUGGACCCGCGGCGCAUUAGCUAGUUGGUGAGGUAACGGCUCACCAAGGCGACGAUGCGUAGCCGACCUGAGAGGGUGAUCGGCCACACUGGGACUGAGACACGGCCCAGACUCCUACGGGAGGCAGCAGUAGGGAAUCUUCCGCAAUGGACGAAAGUCUGACGGAGCAACGCCGCGUGAGUGAUGAAGGUUUUCGGAUCGUAAAGCUCUGUUGUUAGGGAAGAACAAGUACCGUUCGAAUAGGGCGGUACCUUGACGGUACCUAACCAGAAAGCCACGGCUAACUACGUGCCAGCAGCCGCGGUAAUACGUAGGUGGCAAGCGUUGUCCGGAAUUAUUGGGCGUAAAGGGCUCGCAGGCGGUUUCUUAAGUCUGAUGUGAAAGCCCCCGGCUCAACCGGGGAGGGUCAUUGGAAACUGGGGAACUUGAGUGCAGAAGAGGAGAGUGGAAUUCCACGUGUAGCGGUGAAAUGCGUAGAGAUGUGGAGGAACACCAGUGGCGAAGGCGACUCUCUGGUCUGUAACUGACGCUGAGGAGCGAAAGCGUGGGGAGCGAACAGGAUUAGAUACCCUGGUAGUCCACGCCGUAAACGAUGAGUGCUAAGUGUUAGGGGGUUUCCGCCCCUUAGUGCUGCAGCUAACGCAUUAAGCACUCCGCCGGGGGAGUACGGUCGCAAGACUGAAACUCAAAGGAAUUGACGGGGGCCCGCACAAGCGGUGGAGCAUGUGGUUUAAAUUCGAAGCACCGCGAAGAACUUUACAGGUUUGGAAUCCUCUGCCAAUCCCUAGAGAUAGGACGUCCCCUUCGGGGGCAGAGUGACAGGUGGUGCAUGGUUGUCGUCAGCUCGUGUCGUGAGAUGUUGGGUUAAGUCCCGCAACGAGCGCAACCCUUGAUCUUAGUUUCCAGCAAUUCAGUUGGGCACUCUAAGGGGACUGAAAAUCC
This 1101-nucleotide ribosomal RNA is filed under the name Bacillus subtilis. Its description in RNAcentral is "bacterial SSU rRNA". It matches the Rfam family "Bacterial small subunit ribosomal RNA", at positions 73 to 1158 of the family's 1533-position model. Lineage: Bacteria; Bacillati; Bacillota; Bacilli; Caryophanales; Bacillaceae. The record is from RNAcentral.